This 1243-nucleotide long non-coding RNA is filed under the name Hordeum vulgare. RNAcentral's name for it is "long non-coding RNA (HVUL_LNC019979)". Lineage: Eukaryota; Viridiplantae; Streptophyta; Magnoliopsida; Poales; Poaceae. The record is from RNAcentral.
CACGAAGCGAAUACUCCCAAGUUUAGACACAAUUAACUACAGCUGGGAAGGGAAAAAACAAAGAACUCCUUUAGAAGAAAAAAACAAAUGCAAGUGUAGAGCUAGCAUGCAAAUUCAGGCUCUAUUUUCUUUCUUUCUUUUGGGGAGCUCUACCUUUCUUUUGUCCCAUCUACUGUCUGUUUGCUACAUUAAUUUUCCCCAAUCAAGCAAGGGACUAGUGCUGGAUGUUAGUGGAGUACCAUGUAAACAUUCACACAUAAUGUACUCAUCAUUAUUCUCUACUCCACUCCACUAAUCAACAAAUUAAGUGUACGCCACUCAUAUAUGGUACCUACGUGUCCACCUUGGGAAUAUCGAGGCACCUGUGCGCCGUUGAGAGCUUCUUGUGGCAGAGGAGAAGGUGAUGUCUAUCUGAAAGGAAAGGGCGGCGCCGCAGUGGAAAGGAUGGAUGGAGUGAGACAAAACUUCUUAGGCCAGAAGGACAGGCUGACACGCAGUACGAGAAGGCAGGAUCGUACUGACCCCCAUGCAGAUAGACAAAACUUCCUAGGUCAGAUGUUUUCUUUUUCUGCUUCUUGUUGGUGUAAACCAACCUUCAUGGAUAAAACCAAUGAUCCCAGAUUGAUCAUACCAGAAGAAAAAGGAAAGGAAAGGAAAAGAUAAGGAGUAUAUAAUGGACGAAAAUUAACUAUUAUUUUCCUAAAAAGUUAAUGAUCUCCAGCGGACCAACCUGGAGUUGGAUGAAGAGGAGGGGGCGGUGCCGGAGGAGGAGACCGGCAAAAAAGCAAAGAGCAAGCAGGAGUAGCACUAAAGGGGAGGAAUAAACUAGUAUAGAUCCCCUUGAUGAAUAAAAAUGAUGCCCUAAAGCAAUCAAAAAAGAUAAAGUUAAUGAAAAAACGAUGAAAAUAUUUGAUCCCUCUUUCUAAGAAGUGAAUAGCCCCCCACCCCCACCCCCACCCCCUUCAAUUGGGAGUCCAGGGGUGAUGGGGGAGGAGAAGGCGGAAGGGUAAAACAUAAGCAUGAGCACGAAUAAAAUGGAGGGCCGAAGUAGGGGAAGGAAGCUUACCGUUGAAUUCAACACCCUUGAAAUCUCAUCGACGAAGGGAUGAUAAUUGUUGUCCUGCCUCAGUGCCUUCCUGCUUACGGUGGCGGUGGAUGACGGGCCAUGGGGUAGCGGCGAUUGGAGACCCAACAAUUAAGCGAGAAGAGGAGGAAUCACCGAUAAAAGGAUGCUGCCAUGGCG